UUUCAAGGCCGAUAUUAUGGAUGAAGGGGCUGAUUUCCUUUAUAAAUUCAUGUAGUGUUAUUAUGAAGUAUUGGAAACAAUAUAUCAGAAGAAAACCCUGCUUAUGCCAGUUUUUGCCACAGUGAAAAAGAAUGUGACGAGCACCUCAGUUGUCUAAGGUCAUAGCCUCUAUCUUGAGACUGGAUCCCAGCUGACAGCGUGGCGCAUAGCUCUCCAUCCCACCUCACGAUGGCUCACACAUGGGAGCAAUCAGGGGCUGGGGAAACACUGCUCUGUCAUCUUUGCUUCAAAGACUACAUAUCGGCACCUCCUCCUCAGCUGGACCAAUCUGCAUUGCUUGAAGCCAAUUGAAAGGAUGAAGAAAAGUCCCAGCCAGCUCUGUACACAUCAAUACAUGGAAAUAAGGUCAGGUUCAGCCAAAAUGGAGACAACUGCUCCACCUUCAAGGAGAGUCACUCAGGUGGUCCUCCACACUCACUACGAUGUGAAUUUGCACACAACCCCCGGAGGAUGUGCACUUCCAUUUGAAAAGCGCUUCUCAAUAGGAUGCAAAUUGAAGCCAAGAAGCAGAAUUCACAGACACAAAUUAAUGGAACAAUUUCUCUACACUUCUGUGAUUUUAUUAGCUGAAUUAUGGGUGCGGCUUAUUUCAUGGAUCAGAUGACAGAGUCUUCUAGGUCUGUGGAUUCAGUACUCAGCAAUUAUCCAGUUAAUAUGAUUAAUGUGGGCAGUAAAACCGAGCAUCAGCGUGGUCACGGGGGUGUCGUGUUUCUUAGACUUGGAAACCACAUCACAUCUGUGAAAAGAAGUGCUCUUUUGAAGGAAUGAAACUCCGGAAGGUACCUCAUUCCUCUCCAAUGCCUCCGUAUGGCUUCUGCACCCUCCUCCUUCUGGGUUCGCUCAAUAUUUUGCAAAUCUUCAUUUCUGGUCACAUGGCACAAAUGCUGUCAGUCUGAAUCACCUCAAAAUUCUUCAGCAUUGGACAGAGCUAAUUCUGCGCUGGAACAUGCUGACUAAGCACUGACUAAACUAAGAUAGUGAUGACCCAUGGUCAUACAAAGAAUGAGAGAACUGCUGAUUUAAAUGUUAUUUUCUGUCUCAUAUGCCCACUCUUUAAGUGAAAAAUUACCUUAAAAACAUUCAAUACUAGCAAAAUGACUGAAGUAGCUUUUGCUACCUAUUCCUGGGUAAAGCAUAGGUGCUAAGUACCGGAGAGCAUUGAUCUGUUUAUGCUUCACACCCACCUGAGCCAUGUUGUCCUCUAUAGUGAGGACUGAUGCAGGAAGGACUGGGGCAGUGAAUCCCCCUGUUCAACACUGUAGGUGAACCUGGGACAGGUAAGCCCUGGGCUGAACAAAAGUUCAAAGGCAGAGCUGCCUGGUUAUAGAGUCUACGUUCUCAGCACCAAGAUGUGCUCGUUUUGGGUCUGUGGCAAGUCAAAGAAGGCCAGGUGGAGGAGAAGACAGACUUAGUUCUAUCCAGUGAGCAACAUUAGUAUUAGAAUCCACAUCCCACACAGAAAGAAGCUGCACCUCAGGUGCAUGUGGCCAGCACAAAACAGAGCCCACGGUCCGAGUGGAACAUAAUUUAGUAAGUACUGUCAUUUUGUACCUCUUGUUUGACUUUUAAUAGCUCCUCAGGUCACGACUAGUCUUUUGUCAUGCUAACAGAGUUUGCUAGUGAAAUCAUAUAAUUUGAAGGCAUUGAUUAGAAGCCUCCAUUCUAAAGACUCCCAUCAACAUACUGGUGUGUUUUAACUUAGCAAAAUCGCAUUAAUACUGAAGGCUCAGGUUCAUCUUAAAUCUCUUUUCACAGUUCAAAAAUUUCUCAUGGCAGACAAUGCAUUGAUUCUUUAAUUGCUGUGAGUUUCCACUUUAGCCCAGUUCUUUGGAGCUAUGAUGAGGCACCCGAAGUUUUAACUUACUUGUAGAACAGCUGAGAUGAGUUUGUAACAUACCAAUUUGCAGAAGGAUGAAGUUAUUGCCCCCAAGGCCAUACAAGUUAGAUGUAGUAAAGUUUGGGUAUUAACCCAGGACCUCAGAUUUUUCCGUUGGGAACUGUCAUGCUAUAUGAGGGAAUUUAGAAGGGAAUACUCUAACAGAACCUUAAGAAGAUAGGGCAUGGAAUGGUGGGUUUUGAUGAAGUCUGUCAUUAUGGAGCAAGUACAAAAAGAUGCCUCUGUAGUCACAGAAGAAACAUAAAAGUCUGAAACCACAGGAAGGACUAACUAAUGGUAGCUUAGACUUGCAAAAAAGAAAUCCCAUUGUAAGGCAUGGUGACUAUACCAAAUAGUUUCGUCAAUAAAGACACCUCCCACUUAUUUGAAGAAGCUAGUGUUCUGCUUAAGAAAAGAUGCCUAAAGUACUUCAUCUUAAAAAUACUAAUGGAGUGAGGAGAUGAUGGUACAUGCCUAUAUCACACCACUAUGGGAGCCUGAGGCAGGAGGAUCAAAAUUUCAAGCCCACUCUGGGUGAUUUGGUGACUUAGCAAGACCCUGCUGCAAAAUAAAAAAUAAAAAGAGCUUCAGCUCAUUGUGAAGACCCUUGGUUCAAUCCCCGCCACCACAAGAAUAGUAACAACAGUAGGAAUAAUUUAAAACUAAUUCUAGAGAAGGAAACACUACAAAAAAUAAUUAUAUAAAAUUAUGCAGUUGGCGGAAGUUAUGUGACAGCCAUAUAGUUACAAGGUGGGUAAGAGUAAAGUUUGGUUUCUCCAGCAGCUUAGUGAAAGCAAUAGACCUAUGAAGGUGAAAAGCCACAAGUGAGGUGGAGAGAUUGUAGCAUCUCAGACACCAAGAAGAGGAACACUGAGGAACCCUGCACUGAGGGAGAAGAUGAGAAGUUGAAGGAGCCAGAGUGGCCAGGCUCUUUAGGAUAAGCACAAAAGGAGGACAUGAAGGUUUCAGCAAAGGUCAUGGAUGUAGUAAGACUGCACCUUUGCCCGGACAUCCAGAUAGAGAACAGUUAGGAACACUUAUGAUUUAAAAAGAAAUAUAUUUCAAGUUAUAUGUAUUUCAGCACUUCUGUGCUCUGCCUGUGGAAAUGCCCUGAUGUGCCAGUUUGUGUUUUCUGGUUCAUGUAGUCUUGCCAAAACCAUCUGCAGGGGACAGAGCAAUUACUUUCCUCCCAAGCACAAUUAGGAGCAUCUUUUCCACACAGUGGAUGCUGCUGAUCUUCAUUGCUUUCCCUGUCUCUUCCUGGAUUCCAUCUCCUGGCUUUUGAGAGACACAGACUGGAACAUUUCCCUCUCUUACCAUCCCUUGAAGACCCUGUUUUCUUUCCCAGCAGCUGCUCUGUGUCUGAGAAGGUAAAAUUCCAUUUCAAAGCUGGUCCUUGGGCUGCACUUUGACCAUGAUUACUGCAACUCUCGACUCCAAGUCAGCACUUAAGGCAGACUAGCAGGUACCUGCUUUCCCUGCCUGCACUUUAAAAGGAAAGCAGGCAGUAGCAGGAAAAAUUUAUAAUGGAUUGUAUGUCACUGCUCACAUGAAGCCUACAGGUAUUUUGUUUUCUUUUCAUAGGCUCGAUUUACACCAUUUCUUCAAUUCUUUCCUUCCUAGCCUCUUAUGAGGUCACAUUUCAGACAGUGGCAAAGGCAUAAACAGAGGCAACAAAAAUGGGGAUGCACUCUUGGUCUUUAUUUUAUUCUCUUCCUCUUCUUGAUGAUUUUUCCCUUUCUCUUCAAUCUGCCUCUAAAAUUUUCCCUGAAAUUAAACCUCAGAAAUGGUAGAGUUAGUGGUUUAUUAUUUUCUGGCAAAAAAGCAGUUUUUCCUUCUGAUGUGUGUCUUUAAAAGUCCUAUUUUAAUGUUCAUAGGCACCCCACAGGUAGAUUGAGAGAGGAAAUAACUGUAAAAGCUCAGUUUGACAAUUUUGUGUGAUCAAAGGAGUUCAAAGGCAAAUCAGGGUCCUAGGAAAGGUGUGGGGGAAGUGAGGUAGACCAAAACCUGUCCUUUCAACCUGGUGGAGGAUGAAGACUUUGAGCAUAAAGGAAGACGGUGAAAAAAGUUGAAAUGAUCAGUGGUAUUGGAAUGGGAUUGAACCUGAUGAACACAUCCAGUACCAGGAGAAAACCAGGAUAUAAUUGUUGUCACUUCGGACCCCAAUUACCUUCACUUCUCUGUGUGUGCAUACCUUCUUCUCUAUCACAGAGCAGCUCCCCUCCCUGCUGGUCCUCUUCACAGGUAGAGUAAACCGUCUACUUCCCUGUAGUCAUGUGAUUUGUUUUUGCACAACAGAAAAAGGCAGUGGUUCUAAAGUGCCAAUAUUAGGGUGAUAACUAACAGGGCCUCUUUGACUGCUUUUAUUACUGGCAUUUGCACCUUCAUGGGGGACAGACCACCCACAGCAAUGUCUUAGUACAUAAGUUCAAAAACUAAAUAAAUUCUUUUUGUUGUAUUAUGUUGAGAUUCUGUGGUUGUUACAGAGCCAUAGGGGAUCAAUACAAUAAUCAGGUGCUUGUCCUGACUAUUGCAACACAGAGGAAACCAAAGCAAAGAUCACAAUGACAAGGACACAUUAAGAGUUCAUGAGGAAUGGAUGACUGAAGACGAAAGUUCUCAGUUAGACAAACUUCAAAAGGCUAUAGCAUUUAGGUUGUCUUCCUAAUACCUGCUGCAAAGGAAAAC
Molecule: long non-coding RNA, 4624 nt
Organism: Chinchilla lanigera (long-tailed chinchilla)
Lineage: Eukaryota; Metazoa; Chordata; Mammalia; Rodentia; Chinchillidae
Source: Ensembl